This 253-nucleotide ribosomal RNA is filed under the name uncultured bacterium. RNAcentral's name for it is "partial 16S ribosomal RNA". It matches the Rfam family "Bacterial small subunit ribosomal RNA", at positions 524 to 776 of the family's 1533-position model. The record is from RNAcentral.
UACGAAGGGUGCAAGCGUUACUCGGAAUCACUGGGCGUAAAGCGUGCGUAGGCGGUUGGUUAAGUCUGCUGUGAAAGCCCUGGGCUCAACCUGGGAACUGCAGUGGAUACUGGCCAGCUAGAGUGUGAUAGAGGAUGGUGGAAUUCCCGGUGUAGCGGUGAAAUGCGUAGAUAUCAAGAGGAACACCUGCGGCGAAGGCGGGUUGCUGGGCCGACACUGACGCUGAGGCGCGAAAGCUAGGGGAGCGAACGGG